RNAcentral lists this ribosomal RNA (1374 nucleotides) under uncultured bacterium. RNAcentral's name for it is "bacterial SSU rRNA". It matches the Rfam family "Bacterial small subunit ribosomal RNA", at positions 36 to 1398 of the family's 1533-position model. The record is from RNAcentral.
CUGGCGGCGUGCCUUAACACAUGCAAGUUCGAAACGAUGAAGCUCUAGCUUCGCUAGGUCGGAUUAAGCGGCGAAACGGGUCGAGUAAUACGUCGAGCGAACCUACCUUUGACUCUGGGAUAAGCCUGGGAAAACUGGGUCUAAUACCGGAAUACGAACCAAUCUCCGCAUGGGGUGUUCGGUGGAAAGCGUUAUGGAGUGGUUUUUAGAUGGGCUCACGGCCUAUCAGCUUCGUUGGUGAGGUAAUGGCUUACCAAGGCGACGACGGGUAGCCGGCCUGAGAGGGUGACCGGCCACACUGGGACUGAGACACGGCCCAGACUCCUACGGGAGGCAGCAGUGGGGAAUAUUGCACAAUGGGCGCAAGCCUGAUGCAGCGACGCCGCGUGAGGGAUGACGGCCUUCGGGUUUGUAAACCUCUGUUAGCAUCGAAGAAGCGAAAGUGACGGUAGGUGCAGAGAAAGCGCCCGCUAACUACGUGCCAGCAGCCGCGGUAAUACGUAGGGCGCGAGCGUUGUCCGGAAUUAUUGGGCGUAAAGAGCUUGUAGGCGGUUGGUCGCGUCUGCUGUGAAAGGCUGGGGCUUAACCCUGGUUUUGCAGUGGGUACGGGCUAACUAGAGUGCAGUAGGGGAGACUGGAAUUCCUGGUGUAGCGGUGGAAUGCGCAGAUAUCAGGAGGAACACCGAUGGCGAAGGCAGGUCUCUGGGCUGUAACUGACGCUGAGAAGCGAAAGCAUGGGGAGCGAACAGGAUUAGAUACCCUGGCAGUCCAUGCCGUAAACGUUGGGCACUAGGUGUGGGGGACAUUCCACGUUUUCCGCGCCGUAGCUAACGCAUUAAGUGCCCCGCCUGGGGAGUACGGCCGCAAGGCUAAAACUCAAAGAAAUUGACGGGGGCCCGCACAAGCGGCGGAGCAUGCGGAUUAAUUCGAUGCAACGCGAAGAACCUUACCAAGGCUUGACAUAUACUGGACUGCGUCAGAGAUGGCGUUUCCCUUCGGGGCUGGUAUACAGGUGGUGCAUGGUUGUCGUCAGCUCGUGUCGUGAGAUGUUGGGUUAAGUCCCGCAACGAGCGCAACCCUCGUUCUAUGUUGCCAGCACGUGAUGGUGGGGACUCAUAGGAGACUGCCGGGGUCAACUCGGAGGAAGGUGGGGAUGACGUCAAAUCAUCAUGCCCCUUAUGUCUUGGGCUUCACGCAUGCUACAAUGGCCGGUACAGAGGGUUGCGAUACUGUGAGGUGGAGCUAAUCCCUAAAAGCCGGUCUCAGUUCGGAUUGGGGUCUGCAACUCGACCCCAUGAAGUCGGAGUCGCUAGUAAUCGCAGAUCAGCAACGCUGCGGUGAAUACGUUCCCGGGCCUUGCACACACCGCCCGUC